CGAGCAUUAGCCCAGUUUGGAAGGGCGCUUGCUUUGGGAGCAAGAAGUCGAGGGUUCAAGUCCCUCAUGCUCGA
This 74-nucleotide transfer RNA is filed under the name Caudoviricetes sp. Its description in RNAcentral is "tRNA-Pro". It matches the Rfam family "tRNA". From Rfam's summary of the family: Transfer RNA (tRNA) molecules are approximately 80 nucleotides in length. Their secondary structure includes four short double-helical elements and three loops (D, anti-codon, and T loops). Lineage: Duplodnaviria; Heunggongvirae; Uroviricota; Caudoviricetes. The record is from RNAcentral.